GACUGAUUUAUUGAAUAGCCACUUGGAAACUCACCAAGCUCUUUCAUUAUUUGCCACGCAAGCCAGGUCGUGAGCUUUGGCAAGGCAAGUCAGUCUGCCAGAAGCCGUAUUGUCUGGGACUUCCCAUGCCUGUGGAAAGGAACCGUGAGUAGGACCUGGAAAUUCGCAAGCUCUGGGGUAAAGACACCUGAAUAAAGGAUGAUGGGCCCAGGGAGGAAGCAGCCCUACUGUGUUGCAGGCACUGGCCAGCACUGAGGAUGCAGGAGUGCACAUACCAUCCCAGCCUUUGUGGAACUUACAGUCCAUGGGGAAGACAAAUAUUCCAGGAAGAAUCGCAUGAUGACAGUUGUGAUCACUGACACAGGGGAAAAGCACAGGCUAUGGGGGUGGGUGUCUCAUGGGGUCCUAACUUUGUGUGUUGGUGGAGGAAGAUUAGGGGAAGCUUGCACGGGAAAGCGAUAUUUAAGCUGGAACUAAAGGAUAGUAGGAAUUAGUAGUUUCUAAUUAGCCAGAAGUCAGAUGCACAGGGACACUCAGAUCAUAGUAAGGAGGAAUGGGUAGCCACGGAAGGGUUCAAGGGGAGGGGGUGGGGUAGAGCUCACCUAUCAGAUUUGUCCUUCAAAACGAUCAUCCUGCGUAUACCCAGUCUGGCACUAAAGAUUAGAGAUGCUAAGGUGACUACGAUACCACGUCAGCCCUCAGGAGCUCAGAAACCACUAUGGAAUACAGAUGAAAACACAGUACAGUGUGAUGCGUGAACUAUCUCAAUCAUUCUCAUACCUUAGCGUGCAUCAGAGCCCUCUGUGGGCUUAUCAAAAUCUAGACCUCUGGGCCCCACCCCCAGAGUUCUGAUUUCAUACUUUGGGAGUGAGGCCUGAGAAUGUGCAUUUAUAACAAGUUUCCGGGUGACACUGAUGCUUCCAGUCUGGGGACCACACUUUGACAGCCCUAGAAGGAAUCGAAUCACAUGCAUGGAGUUCAUUCUGAGUGGUGGGGGAGGAAAGCAUUUUGGAAGAAUCAAAGCCUGAGCAGAGUUUUGAGGGAUGAAUAGGAGUUCAUUAGACAGACAAGGCAAAAGAAAGGCUACCCUAGGUAUGGGAAAAAGCAUGAACAAAGAAGCCAGAAGUAGCUUGGUGGGUCCGCAGGUGAGAAAGAUGAGCUGGCAAAUCCCAAGCAAGCGCGGCAAACGGGAUAACAGAGGAGGAGCUGCUGCUCUCCCCAAGGGAACUAUCACCGACUAUACCCUCUCUGCUCAGCAGGCAUCCAUCGCACGAAGGACCAAGCAUUUCCGGAACCCCAGGCCCCAGCAGAGAGAGGGGCUGGCUGUGGAACGCCUGGGUCUCUCCUGCUCCACGUCUCACGUGCGGCAAGCUGCAGCUGCACACCAUUUUUCUUUUCCUCCCAGAACAAAUUACAGGUCUUUUUUUUUUUUCUCAAGUGGCUUAGCUGAGGCCCAUAGAGCAGGUUUCUGUACUGAAUGAGGCUCUUGACUCUGCCAGCCUGGGAGAAAUUAGGUCGGUUUAAUCACCGGUGAUGUCAUAAAAGCAGCUUUCUUAAUGGGAGUGCUGAUUGGAGGGGGGGGUAGAGACGGGUGCUGAGGUCACCUCUGAGCAGAACUGCACAGGCUGCUGAGGACGGCUCUGGAGAAAGGCAGAUCCACGGGCAGUGGCUGCCCAAAGCCUUUGAAGUUUCAUUUACAGUGUUUUACAACCAUAUGCAGGGAGUAAAUUGUCCCUGCAGGCUGCUGCACUUUGCCCUCCCCUCCAAGGGGCGGUGGAAGUCACACUAAUAGUAUCUGUCACAAGAUAAGGGCACAGGAUCAGAGAGCAAGGAGGAGACAGAGUUGGCCUGUCCGUGACCUUGUAGUGGGGAGCUCUGUGGCCCUCUGCUAAGUUUCUCAGGGCUCUCUGCUGUCUUGGCGUGUGUCCCUCAGCAGCUCAGCCACCCUCUCAGGGUCCCGCCUCCUCAGUGUCUGAAGUCUUAGCAAGACGAGGAGGAAGGCAUUUUAUGUUUCCAGCAGUGGCACUGAGUUCGUGCAAAAUCAGAAUUGAGGUGGAGCAGAUUUGUUGAGGAGGUGUUUGCUUCUGUGGUUUCAAGCAGUCGUUUCCAAACGCGUGGACGUCCACCCUUUGUCGAAAAGCACCCAGGUGAGGCUGAUGAGCCACGGGAUUUUGAAAGCCUUUGCUUGGAGGUUUAAAUGGAGAAGAGACCUUGAUGAGAUGGUGGUCUCAGGAGUGCCCACAGCUUGCUGCUCGAGGACCCCCACCAAUCAAUAGCAUCAGCUGGUGGGAGCAUA
RNAcentral lists this long non-coding RNA (2296 nucleotides) under Equus asinus (donkey). RNAcentral's name for it is "lncRNA (ENSEASG00005033746.1)". Lineage: Eukaryota; Metazoa; Chordata; Mammalia; Perissodactyla; Equidae. The record is from RNAcentral.